UAACAUGCAGUCGAGCGGAUGGAUUAAGAGCUUGCUCUUAUGAAGUUAGCGGCGGACGGGUGAGUAACACGUGGGUAACCUGCCCAUAAGACUGGGAUAACUCCGGGAAACCGGGGCUAAUACCGGAUAACAUUUUGAACCGCAUGGUUCGAAAUUGAAAGGCGGCUUCGGCUGUCACUUAUGGAUGGACCCGCGUCGCAUUAGCUAGUUGGUGAGGUAACGGCUCACCAAGGCAACGAUGCGUAGCCGACCUGAGAGGGUGAUCGGCCACACUGGGACUGAGACACGGCCCAGACUCCUACGGGAGGCAGCAGUAGGGAAUCUUCCGCAAUGGACGAAAGUCUGACGGAGCAACGCCGCGUGAGUGAUGAAGGCUUUCGGGUCGUAAAACUCUGUUGUUAGGGAAGAACAAGUGCUAGUUGAAUAAGCUGGCACCUUGACGGUACCUAACCAGAAAGCCACGGCUAACUACGUGCCAGCAGCCGCGGUAAUACGUAGGUGGCAAGCGUUAUCCGGAAUUAUUGGGCGUAAAGCGCGCGCAGGUGGUUUCUUAAGUCUGAUGUGAAAGCCCACGGCUCAACCGUGGAGGGUCAUUGGAAACUGGGAGACUUGAGUGCAGAAGAGGAAAGUGGAAUUCCAUGUGUAGCGGGAAAAUGGGCUU
RNAcentral lists this ribosomal RNA (661 nucleotides) under Bacillus cereus. RNAcentral describes it as "bacterial SSU rRNA". It matches the Rfam family "Bacterial small subunit ribosomal RNA", at positions 51 to 693 of the family's 1533-position model. Lineage: Bacteria; Bacillati; Bacillota; Bacilli; Caryophanales; Bacillaceae. The record is from RNAcentral.